AACGAACGCUGGCGGCAUGCCUAACACAUGCAAGUCGAACGAAGUCUUCGGACUUAGUGGCGCACGGGUGCGUAACGCGUGGGAAUCUGCCCUUGGGUGCGGAAUAACUUCUCGAAAGGGAUGCUAAUACCGCAUAAUGUCGUAAGACCAAAGAUUUAUCGCCCAAGGAUGUGCCCGCGUAAGAUUAGCUAGUUGGUGGGGUAAAAGCCUACCAAGGCGACGAUCUUUAGCUGGUCUGAGAGGAUGAUCAGCCACACUGGGACUGAGACACGGCCCAGACUCCUACGGGAGGCAGCAGUGGGGAAUAUUGGACAAUGGGCGAAAGCCUGAUCCAGCAAUGCCGCGUGAGUGAUGAAGGCCCUAGGGUUGUAAAGCUCUUUUACCAGGGAUGAUAAUGACAGUACCUGGAGAAUAAGCUCCGGCUAACUCCGUGCCAGCAGCCGCGGUAAU
RNAcentral lists this ribosomal RNA (450 nucleotides) under uncultured bacterium. RNAcentral describes it as "bacterial SSU rRNA". It matches the Rfam family "Bacterial small subunit ribosomal RNA", at positions 29 to 524 of the family's 1533-position model. The record is from RNAcentral.